This 67-nucleotide transfer RNA is filed under the name Feylinia polylepis. Its description in RNAcentral is "tRNA-Tyr". The record is from RNAcentral. Lineage: Eukaryota; Metazoa; Chordata; Lepidosauria; Squamata; Scincidae.
AUAAAGGUGGGACUAACACCCACGUAAAUAGGGCUACAACCUACUGCCUUCUCGGCCACCUUACCCG